Poeciliopsis prolifica (blackstripe livebearer) is the source of this 860-nucleotide long non-coding RNA. RefSeq lists it as uncharacterized. The transcript has 6 exons. The record is from RefSeq and is a predicted model, not a curated record. Lineage: Eukaryota; Metazoa; Chordata; Actinopteri; Cyprinodontiformes; Poeciliidae.
CGCUGAGCUCACAUGCGGAGGAAGUUUACUGCCGUCACAUAACCCGCAUUCCAGAGACCCGAACCUGUCAGAACACGAAAAGAAGCCGAGAAAAGCCGAGUGUCGGUGUGUAAAUGUGUCCUUCAAGAACAGUGUGUAAAGUGCAAACCAAAGUAUCUGAUGUCUCUUCAAAUCUUUAAGAUGUAUUUUCCGGGUCACCAACCCACUCCUGGAACUGGUUACCAAGUGGAGGUGGUUCAAGGAGCCAUUGAGGAUCAGCAGGAUGAUGCCAUCGUAUGUCCUAUGAUUGGCCAUGAUCUCUCUCUAUUCGCAUUGGAAAGACUUUGAGCAAUAUAAUCGGAGAACAGCUGGAAGAAAAGUUUAACAAGGAAACAGGAAAGGCAACUCUGCCAAGUGAAACAGUUGUAGUUGAGGGCCUACCUGGCCUUAAAUGUAAAGCAGUCGUCUUCCUCAACCUACUCUGCUGGGAUAAUAACGAACAUGGAACUGCAGUCCAGGCGCUACGACAGGGAAUCAAACGGAUUCUGGCUACCUGUGAAAUCAGAUGCUACCGUUCAGUAGCUCUGCCGGUUCUUGGGACUGGCGCUCUCUUACGCUUUCCACACAAAACUGCUUCCACAAUCCUUCUGGAGGAGAUUGGUGUAUAUGGACAAAACCGGACCAAGAAGUCACCCUUCCUAGUUCGAAUCAUUAUUUACCCAAAGGACAAAGAAUCGAGCCAGGCUUUUAAGUGCUCCCAGGGUGUGUUGCUUGAAAACGGAUACAUAAGCCAUGUUGAUUUAGCUGAAGGUUCCUUUUACCAGUGUGUGUCUGUCACUGAUGACGAGGUCACAGCCAUGAUCGGCAAAGUCAAACUUCAG